AAAAAAAAAAAAAACUGACAGAAGAAAACUGGGUACACAACUCAAUUAACCCUCAACAUAUAUAACUGGGUAUUUCCUAUCAUUUUAAAAUGGCAUCUGCAAUUCCAAGCAUUUCCAGUUUUGCUCCAGUUCAUGAAAGAAUCCAGAAACAACUUUACCCAUGACCUGAUCUGAACCUUAGAACCUUACCCUUCAAGGGACAGAGACAUAUAGAUAACACAACAACUACAACAAAGCCUUAAUCCCAAAUAAGUUAGGGACGGCAGAUAAAUAGAUAACACGUGGAUAGAAAUCCUAGAGGCAGCUUGAAUAUCAGCAAAUGGUUUCCACACCAUGCAUGAUCAAAUUUAUCAAAUUUACAAGGCAAUGCUACAUACAACUCUAAGAUGGCUGGAAAGAAAAAGCAAGAAAU
This 412-nucleotide unclassified non-coding RNA is filed under the name Hevea brasiliensis (rubber tree). Lineage: Eukaryota; Viridiplantae; Streptophyta; Magnoliopsida; Malpighiales; Euphorbiaceae. The record is from RNAcentral.